AUUGUGUAUGUGUAUUGUGAUGCCUGGGACUAGAGAGGCAUCCCAUUCAAAACAUCCCAAUAAACAGCUACCGCAACCCACACACAAACCAUUAACACAAUGGUUGUUAAUUUGGUUCACUCAGUUUUUUGCAGCGUAUCAUUUCUGAAAUUUUGCAUUGGUUAAAGUUUUCUUCUGCUCUUUUCAAUAGGUAUGAAAUUUUAACAAGUUUGGUAAAAUGCAAAGAACUUAGAGUCUCCGUUUCAGAAACUUCAUUUCAUGGUUUCCUAUCUGUUGCAACUGUUAUGUUCCUGAUAGUAUUGGAUCUCAUUAUUAAAUUUCAAUUUUGUACACUAUGUGAAAUGACAAUCUUGUUUUUACCUUGUGUUAUAGAUGUCCAUUAUACAGAUCAUGAUUGACAACUACCAAAAAAUAUUUGGAAAUAAUGAUAUGUUUAUUAAAUAUAUUGACAAUAAGUCUGAUGAUCUAAGGAUGCGUAAAGCGUCAAUAAAUUUUUCUGGCAAAUCACCUGUUAUGUCAAAAGUCAUGACAUGCUACAACUGGAAAACAUGUGGUAACAAUAAAAAAAAUAUUUUAUGUGCUGCUCUGCAGGAGGAACGUCCUACAGAGAAAUAUGAAGGCAAAGUAUAUACCAACCCACCAGUACGUUGUCUAUUUCCAUUACGACCUGCAAAGAAAUGUUUGUUUAAGCAACCUCUUAUGACUAUUUUUGAAGACAGAGAGCUACAUACUCCAAUAAUUGAUUUUAUUUUUAACAUUGAUGGAACCUCACUUACUCUGACUGUAUAUGAAAAUUGGCUUUGCAUACCAGAAGAAGGAACUCUGGCUGAAAAAAUCAAUGUCAUCCAAAGCCAUUUACAUCAGAUUCCAGAACCAAACUUUAUACUAUUAAAAUAUCUCAUCUGUUUAUUAGUAAUGGUAAAAGAUUCUUCCAUGAAUAAUUUGGACCGUUCCAGGUUAUCUGUGUGCAUAGCUCCAUGUGGAUCACGGGGCCUGACUUCGAGAAACUCAUUACUUGGAAAUGACAUCUUAAGGAAGUUGUCUGUUAUACAAAUCAUGAUUGACAACUACCAUAAAAUAUUUGGAAAUGAUGAUAUGUUUAAUAAACAUAUUGAGAAAAAGUCUGAUGAUUUAAGGAUGCUUAAAGAAUCAAAAAAUUCUUCUGUCAAAUCACCUGUUAUGACAAAAGUCAUAGCUUGCUACAACUGGAAAGCAUGUGGUAACAAUAAAAAAAAUAAUAUUUCAUGUGCUGCUCUGCAGGAGGAAAGUCCUACAGAGAAAUAUGAAGGCAAAGUAUAUACCAACCCACCAGUACGUUGUCUAUAUCCAUUACGACCUGCAAAGAAAUGUUUGUUUAACCAACCUCUUAUGACUAUUUUUGAAAACAAAGAGCUACAUACUCCAAUAAUUGAUUUUAUUAUUAACAUUGAUGGAACCUCACUUACUCUGACUGUAUAUGAAAAUUGGCUUUGCGUCCCAGAAGAAGGAACUCUGGCUGAAAAAAUUAAUGUCAUCCAAAGCCAUUUACAUCAGAUUCCAGAACCAAACUUUGUACUAUUAAAAUAUCUCAUCUGUUUAUUAGUAAUGGUAAAAGAUUCUUCCAUGAAUAAUUUGGACCGUUCCAGGUUAUCUGUGUGCAUAGCUCCAUGUGGAUCACGGGGCCUGACUUCGAGAGACUCAUUAUUUGGAAAUGACAUCUUAAGGAAGAAGUUGUCCGUUAUACAAAUCAUGAUUGACAACUACCAUAAAAUAUUUGGAAAUGAAGAUAUAUUUAAUAAACAUAUUGACAAAAAGUCUGAUGAUUUAAGGAUGCUUAAAGAAUCAAAAAAUUCUUCUGUCAUAUCACCUGUUAUGACCAAAGUCAUAGCUUGCUACAACUGGAAAGCAUGUGGUAACAAUAAAAAAAAUAAUAUUUCAUGUGCUGCUCUGCAGGAGGAAAGUCCUACAGAGAAAUAUGAAGGCAAAGUAUAUACCAACCCACCUGUAUGUUGUCUAUUUCCAUUACGACCUGCAACGACAUGUUUGUUUCCCCAACCUCUUACAAGUGUUUUUGAAGACAAAAAGGUACAUACUCCAAUAAUUGAUUAUAUUAUUAACAUGGAUUCAACCUCACUUACUUUGAUCCUGUAUGAAAAUUGGCUUUGCAUCCCAGAAAAAGGAACUCUGUCUGGAAAAUUUAAUGUCAUCCAAAGCCUGUUUCAACAGGUUCCAGAACCAAACUUUAUAUUAUUAAAACAUCUCUUGUGUGCAUUAACAAUGCUAAAAGAUUAUUCCAUGAAUAAUUUGGACCAUCACAGGUUAUCUGUGCGCAUAGCUCCACGUGGAUUAAGGGGUCAGACUUCGAGAGACUCAUUAUUUGGGACUGACAUCUUAAGAGAGGAUUUUAUUAUUAACAUUGAUUCAACCACACAUACCUUGAUCAUGUAUGAAAAUUGGCUUUGCAUCCCAGAAAAAGGAACUCUGUCUGGAGAAUUUAAUGCCAUCGAAAGGUAAUGAUACAUUAAGCACUUGGGGAACUGCACCAAUAUAGAAGCAGUGCUUUUGUAAGAUACAUAGGCUUGUGUUUCUAGUAUUGCAAGCAGCAAUGAUGUCC
This 2593-nucleotide long non-coding RNA is filed under the name Rattus norvegicus (Norway rat). RNAcentral's name for it is "long non-coding RNA NONRATT032703". Lineage: Eukaryota; Metazoa; Chordata; Mammalia; Rodentia; Muridae. The record is from RNAcentral.